Molecule: transfer RNA, 73 nt
Filed under: Bacteroidales bacterium
Lineage: Bacteria; Pseudomonadati; Bacteroidota; Bacteroidia; Bacteroidales
Also listed under: 2 other names
Description: tRNA-Ala
Rfam family: tRNA
About the family: Transfer RNA (tRNA) molecules are approximately 80 nucleotides in length. Their secondary structure includes four short double-helical elements and three loops (D, anti-codon, and T loops).
Source: RNAcentral
GGGGGUUUAGCUCAUCUGGUAGAGCGUAAGGUUCGCAAUCUUAAGGUGGCCGGUUCGAGUCCGGUAACCUCCA